RNAcentral lists this long non-coding RNA (1249 nucleotides) under Dasypus novemcinctus (nine-banded armadillo). RNAcentral describes it as "lncRNA (ENSDNOG00000052051.1)". Lineage: Eukaryota; Metazoa; Chordata; Mammalia; Cingulata; Dasypodidae. The record is from RNAcentral.
AUGGCAGAGUUGGGAUUGAACCCAUGUUUGCCUGACCCAGAGUCCCUGAGCCCCAAAGUGCAUCUGAAUCUUAGCCGUCUUACUAGGAAGGGUGCAACUGGAGGGCAGAGGCCGCUUCUCACCCAUCUUGGUACCUCCAGCUCGUACACAGUGCCAGGCAUACAGCAGGUGCUCACUGAGGAUUCCCUAGUGAAUAAAUGGCCUUGGCCUUCUGCACACGUAUGUGUGGUCUUAGAAAGAGCUUCUCCAUUUCCAUUUGCUUUCUCCUGGUGGCUCUUUCAGGAGGGGUUCGAGGCACCUGGACACAGGGGCUGGACAGGAUGGUGCAAGUGCUGGCGGUCAGGAAUCAGACGGACCAGCUCCCAAGCCUGGUUGGGUCACCCUUCCUGGGUGGCCGAUGAGGAGUCCAGCCGUUGGAAAAGGACGCAGGGACAAGGCGAUGGAGGGGCCUAAGCGGGCCUCGUCCUGGCCGCCUCCCCACACCCUGCCUGCGCCGGCCUCGCCGGCUCCUCUCAGAACCGCUUCUGCGCCAUCUGUUCAGCCGAGCGGGUGCCUCUGCCUGCAACACCCUUUCUUCUCUCUCGCCAAGUUACUUCUCAUCCUGCAGGUCUCCACUCAAACGCUACUGCUUAGGACAGCCCUCCGGGACCCCGAGGCCCAGGUCAGGGCCUCGAAGCACCAUUUCCUUCGUGGUGCGUCACGUGACCGCAAUGUGCUCUAGCUUCAUGAUGCCCUGGUAGGAUGUGAGCAGCAUGAGAGCACAGACAGCCUCUGUCUCGUCUCCACCCGGGCCUGGCACAGUGCCUGGUGCACAGUAGGUGCCCAAUAGCUGGGCAAUGAAGGAAUGAGGGGCGAGCAAAGCUCUGUGACCUUGGGGAGCUCUACUGCCUUCCUUGGGGCCCCCACUUCCUCGUCCAGAAAACAGGACAGCCGAGGCUUCUGGAGCUUUUAAACGUCAUCCCUCUUCUUAAGCAAAUAUUUCUUCUUGGGGGCCUCCCUGGGGCCCCUCAGCUUAGUCAGGCUGGGUUUUGCCCAGCAAACUCUAAAUCAAACCCUUGUUGGAAAAAAAUGUAAAAUUUACUCCCACAGUCAGCAUUGAAAAUAAAACACCUCCCCCUUUGCUACUCGUCUCUCUCCCUACUUAAACCCGCUACUUCCUGCACCCCAGUUCCAGUCCUGCCCAAAUCCCGCCAACUCCCUGGGGGUAGAGCCAAGAGACCCACCCCCGUCCCCGCUGGAGACUCCAAGU